GAUGAACGCUAGCUAUAGGCUUAACACAUGCAAGUCGAGGGGAAACGGCAUUAUGUGCUUGCACAUUCUGGACGUCGACCGGCGCACGGGUGAGUAUCGCGUAUCCUACCUUCCCUCCACUCGGGGAUACCCCGUUGAAAGACGGCCUAAUACCCGAUGUUGUCCACAUAUGGCAUCUGACGUGGACCAAAGAUUCAUCGGUGGAGGAUGGGGAUGCGUCUGAUUAGCUUGUUGGUGCGGGUAACGGCCCACCAAGGCGACGAUCAGUAGGGGUUCUGAGAGGAAGGUCCCCCACAUUGGAACUGAGACACGGUCCAAACUCCUACGGGAGGCAGCAGUGAGGAAUAUUGGUCAAUGGACGUAAGUCUGAACCAGCCAAGUAGCGUGCAGGAUUGACGGCCCUAUGGGUUGUAAACUGCUUUUGUUGGGGAGUAAAGUGAGGCACGCGUGCCUUUUUGCAUUUACCCUUCGAAUAAGGACCGGCUAAUUCCGUGCCAGCAGCCGCGGUAAUACGGAAGGUCCAGGCGUUAUCCGGAUUUAUUGGGUUUAAAGGGAGUGUAGGCGGUCUGUUAAGCGUGUUGUGAAAUUUAGGUGCUCAACAUUUAACUUGCAGCGCGAACUGGCGGACUUGAGUGCACGCAACGUAUGCGGAAUUCAUGGUGUAGCGGUGAAAUGCUUAGAUAUCAUGACGAACUCCGAUUGCGAAGGCAGCGUACGGGAGUGUUACUGACGCUUAAUCUCGAAUGUGCGGGUAUCGAACGGG
Molecule: ribosomal RNA, 763 nt
Filed under: uncultured Prevotella sp.
Lineage: Bacteria; Pseudomonadati; Bacteroidota; Bacteroidia; Bacteroidales; Prevotellaceae
Description: bacterial SSU rRNA
Rfam family: Bacterial small subunit ribosomal RNA
Source: RNAcentral